RNAcentral lists this ribosomal RNA (268 nucleotides) under uncultured bacterium. RNAcentral describes it as "partial 16S ribosomal RNA". It matches the Rfam family "Bacterial small subunit ribosomal RNA", at positions 524 to 776 of the family's 1533-position model. The record is from RNAcentral.
UACGGAGGGAGCUAAGCGUUGUUGCGGAAAUUAUUGGGCGUAAAGAGCUUCGUAGGCGGUCUGUCGCAGUCCGGGAUCGUGAAAAACCCGCAGGCUCAACUGUGGGCUUGCAGCUGGAUACGGGCAGGCUUGAGUUCGGUAGGGGAGACUGGAAUUCCUGGUGUAGCGGUGAAAUGCGGCAGCAGUAUCAGGAGGAACACCGGUGGCGAAGGCGGGUCUCUGGGCCGUUACUGGACGCUGAGGAGCGAAAGCGUGGGGAGCGAACAGG